This 386-nucleotide ribosomal RNA is filed under the name uncultured bacterium. Its description in RNAcentral is "bacterial SSU rRNA". It matches the Rfam family "Bacterial small subunit ribosomal RNA", at positions 28 to 414 of the family's 1533-position model. The record is from RNAcentral.
GAUGAACGCUGGCGGCGUGCCUAACACAUGCAAGUCGGACGGAGAGGACAUUUCGGUGUUCUCUCAGUGGCGCACGGGUGAGUAACACGUAGCUGACCUGUCCUGGAGCGGGGGAUAACGCCGCGAAAGCGGCGCUAAGCCCGCCUAAGCUCACGGUCUGUAGAGGGGUGUGAGAAAAACCGAAAGGUACUUCAGGAGGGGGCUGCGGCCCAUCAGGUAGUUGGUGGGGUAAGAGCCUACCAAGCCGACGACGGGUAGGGGGUCUGAGAGGGUGGUCCCCCACACUGGGACUGAGACACGGCCCAGACUCCUACGGGAGGCAGCAGUGAGGAAUAUUGGUCAAUGGCCGAAAGGCUGAACCAGCGACGCCGCGUGGGCGAUGAAGG